Molecule: ribosomal RNA, 483 nt
Filed under: uncultured bacterium
Lineage: Bacteria
Description: partial 16S ribosomal RNA
Rfam family: Bacterial small subunit ribosomal RNA
Source: RNAcentral
AUUGAACGCUGGCGGCAGGCCUAACACAUGCAAGUCGAGCGGAUGAAGGGAGCUUGCUCCUGGAUUCAGCGGCGGACGGGUGAGUAAUGCCUAGGAAUCUGCCUGGUAGUGGGGGAUAACGUCCGGAAACGGGCGCUAAUACCGCAUACGUCCUGAGGGAGAAAGUGGGGGAUCUUCGGACCUCACGCUAUCAGAUGAGCCUAGGUCGGAUUAGCUAGUUGGGGGGGUAAAGGCCUACCAAGGCGACGAUCCGUAACUGGUCCGAGAGGAUGAUCAGUCACCGGGUAGGUAGGACGCGUCCACGACCCCGACGGGAGGAAGCGGGGGGGAUUAUUGGGGAAGGGGCGAAAGCCUAAUCUGGCCAGGCGGGGGGUGUGAGGAAGGUCUCCGACUUGUAAGGCACUUAAGGUGGGGGGAAGGGGAAGUAGUUAAUACCUUGCUGUUUUGACGUUACCAACAGAAUAAGCACCGGCUAACUUCGUG